RNAcentral lists this long non-coding RNA (1050 nucleotides) under Lynx pardinus (Iberian lynx). Lineage: Eukaryota; Metazoa; Chordata; Mammalia; Carnivora; Felidae. The record is from RNAcentral.
GAGAGGCGCCUCCGCCGCUCCUUUCUCAUGGAAAUGGCCCGCUAGCCCGGCCGGCGGCGCCCCUCCCGCGGGAGGAAGGCGAGCCCGGCCCCCGGCGGCCCCUCGCGCCGCGGACAAAUCCGGCAAACAAUGCGCCCGCCCAGAGGGCGGCCCAGCUGCCGGGCCGGGGACCAGGCCGCGGGACACAAAGGGGCCCGCUUGCCUCGGGCGGCGCAGGGCGGGUGGGGGUGACCGCGGGGGAGCCUGCGGUCGGGACGAAACUGCGGCCACCCGGCCUCGGCCCUCGGCCACGUGCGUCCGCAGCGGGCGGCAGGGUACGGCAGGGUGUCCGAGGAAGAGCUGGGGCCGGGAGACAAAGAGAGAGGGUCCGCAGGGAGCGGCGGAGUGGGGGGUGGGGGCCGGCGCGCCGUGUGCCAGGAAUCGACUGUCGGGGGCUAGGGGGGCUCGGUUUGGGGAGGUCCGGCCACCACGCGGGCGGGUCGGGGCGCUGUCCGCGGUGCUGGCGGUGGGCUGGCCCCGCGGGACAGGAGCGCCACGGGCGCAGGGCCAACUGUGUCCCGAAAGCCACUCGCCCCAACCGCGGGCCCUCUGGGCAGUUGCCAUGACAACGAGGGAGGGGGUGGGGUAGGGUCUGAGGUCACUGCAAAGUCUGUCCUUCCUCGGUCCGCUCAGCGACGGGGUGGGGGUGGCCCUCAGUGAGCUCCGGGAGCUGUCUCCCAGCCUGGAGAAAGAGACACUCAACAAGGGUAGGGGAAGGGCGGGGACAAGUCUACACCUGCGUCCAGGGUCCGAACCAGGGCAGGUGUGUGCACCCGACCGCAUCCCUCCCCAAACCUCGCUCUGGACUAUGCGGGACUCAGGCACGUGAGGCUCCGCAGCCCAGGGGGAGGAUGGCAAAUCCCUCCCCCACCAUCUGCAGCCGCAGUGACACCCACUCAGGUUUGCUGCAGGCAUUUUUUUUUUUUUCUGUCCUCAGGAGCCAGCGCCACCUGCUGGUGCCCUGGCAAGGGAUCUGCGUGGGCUUCUGCUCCCUUCACCCGCCAGGCUCCC